GCAGAAAAAGAAGGUUCUAUAGCCAUGCAAUCUUCAGAUCCAGCACACUUCACUCCUAAAGGGACAAGUAUUUUUCCAAGCAAUUUGAAUUCUGCAAUUGGAAGUUCUGGGUUACCUGCUUCCCAGAUGUUUGGGAGUGCAAUAAAAGAUGGAGAGAAUCAGAAUGAAUUAUUCCAACAACAAGCCCAAGCUCUUAGUCAAACCAUGAAACAAGUACGUCACCGGCUGGCAUCCCAUAAAACUGUGAGUAAAAAAAAGUCAUCAGUGUUUCCAGAUGGUAUGAGGAAAAGCUUUUCUAUCCAACAGGAAUCUGACAGUGAGGAAGUAUUAUCUAUUAUAACAAAUGAGAAAGGGAGAGACGAUUUAUUUUGGGGAGACAAGCAGAGUCUCUUUUCUGAAGACAAUGAUAAGCCUUUUAGCAGAGUUCAGGUAAAGCAAUAAGAGUAAGUGAAAUAAUUGUGAUUUGGAAUAGGGAUUGCCAGUAUUGUUAUACUGGUUUGGAAUUGUAGAGUUAGAUUCUUUCAAGUUGGGCAGACUGUGACUUCACAUUUUAUUUUAGUAAUUUGUUGAAUACUCUUGCCAUUUUAAGAUCAUUUUAGGAAUCUCAUGGAAAACUAAGUGUUACUGUUUUAUAACAUUCUAUAUUUGUUGUUUAUGUUCACUUUUAGAAAGUAAAAUUCAAAAAUCCAUUAUUUGUUGUCAUAGAAGAGAAAGAACAAAAGCAGUCACAUUUUCAGGGUCUUGAAGCCCAGGAUUAUCCUCUGGAAACCAAAGGUGAUUUGAUAGAAGUUCAGAGUAUUGAGCCUGAAAAGAGUAUUGAGCCAGAUGUCCAGGCUGUUGAUCUGGAAGUUCAAGCUAUUGAGCCAGAAUGCCAAGCCAUUGAAUCAGAAGUCCAGGCUUUUAAGACAGAAACUUGGAGUAUUAUGAUAAAAGCCAGUAGCACUGAGAUAGAAAAUAGGAAUAUUGAGUUAAAAGCACAGGAUUUUCUACCCAAAAACCAGGCCUUUCUGCCCAAAUGUGAGGACCAAGAUUCUCUACCCCAAAACCCCUAUGUUCUCCCUAAAGACCAGAAUAUUCUACCCAAAUAUCAGGACCAGAAUUUUCUGCAUAAAAACCAGGAUUUUCUACCCAGAGACCAGGAUAUUCUACCCAAAUGUCAGGACCAAGACUUUCUACCUGAUAAAGACCAGGAUUUUCUAUCUAGAAACCAGCAUGUGUUCCCUGAAGACCAGAAUAUUCUACACAAAUAUCAGGACCAAGAUUUUCUACAUGAUGACCAGGAUUUUCUAUGUAGAGACCAGUGUGUUCUUCCCAAAGACCAGAAUAUUCUUCUCAAAUGCCAGGACCAGGAUUUUCUCCCUAAAGAUCAGUACAUUCUCCUCUCAGAUGAGAAUCUUCUAUACAAAUGUCAGAAGCAGGAUAUUCCACUCAAAGAUCAGCACAGUAACUAUGGGCAAGCAUCACAUGAUAUGACAGAUGAGAAAUGGAGAAGAGAGUUGCUUCCAGAGUACCACAGAUAUGGUUUACAUAAAAUCCAGGAUCCUGGCUCUGCCAGAGAUCAGAGCUUAAACUUUAGGCAGCAGCCAUCUGUUGGAACAGCUGAAAGAUGCCAAGAAGACUUGCUUCUGAAUCACCAUCAGCAUCUUGCACCCAAGCAUCAGAGAGACACUUGCAGGAGACGACAGGUUUAUAAUGAUUAUCAGUCAGGACUAAGCAAUGAAUUCCAAACUCCAUUGGCAUUUCAGUCUGGAGUAGAUAAAGAGGAAGACAAGAAAGAGCGUCAAAAGCAGUACCUGAGACACAGAAGACUUUUCAUGGAUAUUGAAAGAGAACAAGUAAAAGAACAAAAAAGACAAAAGGAACAAAAGAAGAAAAUUGAAAAGUAAGUUCUUUGAUUUGAUCCUCAUUCUGAGUCUUAAAUUACCUGUUAA
This 1931-nucleotide long non-coding RNA is filed under the name Ictidomys tridecemlineatus (thirteen-lined ground squirrel). Its description in RNAcentral is "lncRNA (ENSSTOG00000016300.3)". The record is from RNAcentral. Lineage: Eukaryota; Metazoa; Chordata; Mammalia; Rodentia; Sciuridae.